Microcebus murinus (gray mouse lemur) is the source of this 654-nucleotide long non-coding RNA. RefSeq lists it as uncharacterized. The record is from RefSeq and is a predicted model, not a curated record. Lineage: Eukaryota; Metazoa; Chordata; Mammalia; Primates; Cheirogaleidae.
GUCCACUUCUAGGUGGGAGUCAUGGCCGAGGUGAUGUUUCCUCAAAGUGGGAGCUGCUGUCACAGCAGCUGUCCUGCAAGAUACCCUGUGUCCAUGAACCUGGCAAGCUACCUUGUUAGCCGCAGAGGGGGCAGCUCAGACCUUCCCAGUUCCUGACAGCCAUCUCUCCCCAGUGGUUCCACUUUGUAUGCCGGCCCCAGCACUUGGCACAGAGGUGUCUACCAUCCAUCAGUAUUUCAGCAAUCUCAGGAUGCCAGAGCUAGAGGAGACCUGAGAGAGGAUUUCUUCAGUGGCUGCCAGAUUGUUCCAUGGAACCUGUGCCAGAGAUGAGGACGUGGAUACUGAGAAGGAGGCUUGCCCGUGCUGAUACACCUAAUGAGGAGUGGAGCAGAUUUGAACCCAAGUCUUUACACCUUAAUUAUCUGAGCAGAUUUGAAGCCUCAUAUGCCUCCCUUCUAGGAGCUGGGAAUUUCUGGUUCUUGGCCCUUGAUGGGAUGCGAGUCUGACAGACAUUCUCUGAUCCCAGGUUUGGGUGCUGGGUUUUCUGCUUCCAGAAUGAAGAACUUUGAUUUGCAUCAAGAUCCAGGCCCUUCUGGUGUCUGCUGAAUGAAAAACAAGGGAUAUUUAAUAAAUAAUGAAUGGUUUUAAAUGUGA